CAAUAUAUGAGACCGGCGCACGGGUGCGUAACGCGUAUGCAACCUACCUUUUACAGGGGAAUAGCCCAGAGAAAUUUGGAUUAAUGCCCCAUGGUGUAUUGAGAUGGCAUCAUCAUAAUACUAAAGUUCCAACGGUAAAAGAUGGGCAUGCGUCCUAUUAGCUAGAUGGUAAGGUAACGGCUUACCAUGGCAACGAUAGGUAGGGGUCCUGAGAGGGAGAUCCCCCACACUGGUACUGAGACACGGACCAGACUCCUACGGGAGGCAGCAGUGAGGAAUAUUGGACAAUGGGCGCAAGCCUGAUCCAGCCAUGCCGCGUGCAGGAAGACGGUCCUAUGGAUUGUAAACUGCUUUUGUACGGGAAGAAACACUCCUACGUGUAGGAGCUUGACGGUACCGUAAGAAUAAGGAUCGGCUAACUCCGUGCCAGCAGCCGCGGUAAUACGGAGGAUCCAAGCGUUAUCCGGAAUCAUUGGGUUUAAAGGGUCCGUAGGCGGUUUGAUAAGUCAGUGGUGAAAGCCCAUCGCUCAACGAUGGAACGGCCAUUGAUACUGUCAGACUUGAAUUGUUGGGAAGUAACUAGAAUAUGUAGUGUAGCGGUGAAAUGCUUAGAUAUUACAUGGAAUACCAAUUGCGAAGGCAGGUUACUACUAAUGGAUUGACGCUGAUGGACGAAAGCGUGGGUAGCGAACAGGA
This 696-nucleotide ribosomal RNA is filed under the name uncultured Bacteroidota bacterium. RNAcentral describes it as "bacterial SSU rRNA". It matches the Rfam family "Bacterial small subunit ribosomal RNA", at positions 83 to 777 of the family's 1533-position model. Lineage: Bacteria; Pseudomonadati; Bacteroidota. The record is from RNAcentral.